This 253-nucleotide ribosomal RNA is filed under the name uncultured bacterium. RNAcentral's name for it is "partial 16S ribosomal RNA". It matches the Rfam family "Bacterial small subunit ribosomal RNA", at positions 524 to 776 of the family's 1533-position model. The record is from RNAcentral.
UACAUGGGGUGCAAACGUUGCUCGGAAUCAUUGGGCGUAAAGCGCGCGUAGGCGGUUACUUAAGUCGAAUGUGAAAGCCCUCGGCUUAACUGUGGAAGUGCAUCCGAAACUGAGUAGCUAGAGUACGAAAGAGGGUCGCGGAAUUCCCGGUGUAGAGGUGAAAUUCGUAGAUAUCGGGAGGAACACCGGUGGCGAAGGCGGCGACCUGGGUCGAGACUGACGCUGAGGCGCGAAAGCGUGGGGAGCAAACAGG